UAGGGAAUCUUCCGCAAUGACGCAAGUCUGACGGAGCAACGCCGCGUGAGUGAAGAAGGAUUUCGGUUCGUAAAACUCUGUUGUUAGAGAAGAACAGCGCAUAGAGUAACUGUUAUGCGUGUGACGGUAUCUAACCAGAAAGCCACGGCUAACUACGUGCCAGCAGCCGCGGUAAUACGUAGGUGGCAAGCGUUGUCCGGAUUUAUUGGGCGUAAAGCGAGCGCAGGCGGUCAAUUAAGUCUGAUGUGAAAGCCCCCGGCUCAACCGGGGAGGGUCAUUGGAAACUGGUUGACUUGAGUGCAGAAGAGGAGAGUGGAAUUCCAUGUGUAGCGGUGAAAUGCGUAGAUAUAUGGAGGAACACCAGUGGCGAAGGCGACUCUCUGGUCCGUAACUGCCGCUGAGGUUCGAAAGCGUGGGUAGCAAACAGG
RNAcentral lists this ribosomal RNA (428 nucleotides) under Bacteroidota bacterium. RNAcentral's name for it is "Bacteroidetes bacterium partial 16S ribosomal RNA". It matches the Rfam family "Bacterial small subunit ribosomal RNA", at positions 355 to 776 of the family's 1533-position model. Lineage: Bacteria; Pseudomonadati; Bacteroidota. The record is from RNAcentral.